Molecule: non-coding RNA, 119 nt
Organism: Eumeta japonica
Lineage: Eukaryota; Metazoa; Arthropoda; Insecta; Lepidoptera; Psychidae
Source: the annotation of a GenBank genome assembly
ACUCUAAGCGGUGGAUCACUUGGCUCAUGGGUCGAUGAAGAACGCAGCAAACUGUGCGUCAUCGUGUGAACUGCAGGACACAUGAACAUCGACAUUUUGAACGCAUAUCGCAGUCCAUG